RNAcentral lists this ribosomal RNA (229 nucleotides) under uncultured bacterium. RNAcentral's name for it is "partial 16S ribosomal RNA". It matches the Rfam family "Bacterial small subunit ribosomal RNA", at positions 99 to 334 of the family's 1533-position model. The record is from RNAcentral.
CGGACGGGCGAGUAAUGUCUGGGAAACUGCCCGAUGGAGGGGGAUAACUACUGGAAACGGUAGCUAAUACCGCAUAACGUCGCAAGACCAAGAGGGGACCUUCGGGCCUCUUGCCAUCGGAUGUGCCCAGAUGGGAUUAGCUAGUAGGUGGGUAACGGCUCACCUAGGCGACGAUCCCUAGCUGGUCUGAGAGGAUGACCAGCCACACUGGAACUGAGACACGGUCCAG